Molecule: ribosomal RNA, 208 nt
Filed under: uncultured Acidithiobacillus sp.
Lineage: Bacteria; Pseudomonadati; Pseudomonadota; Acidithiobacillia; Acidithiobacillales; Acidithiobacillaceae
Description: partial 16S ribosomal RNA
Rfam family: Bacterial small subunit ribosomal RNA
Source: RNAcentral
CGCGUAGGCGGUGGGUUACGUCUGCCGUGAAAUCCCCCGGGCUCAACCUGGGAAUGGCGGUGGAAACGGGCUGACUAGAGUAUGGGAGAGGGUGAUGGAAUUCCAGGUGUAGCGGUGAAAUGCGUAGAGAUCUGGAGGAACAUCAGUGGCGAAGGCGGUCACCUGGCCCAAUACUGACGCUGAGGCGCGAAAGCGUGGGGAGCAAACA